Molecule: ribosomal RNA, 712 nt
Filed under: uncultured bacterium
Lineage: Bacteria
Description: bacterial SSU rRNA
Rfam family: Bacterial small subunit ribosomal RNA
Source: RNAcentral
AGCAAACAGGAUUAGAUACCCUGGUAGUCCACGCUGUAACCGAUGAAUACUAGGUGUGGGGGGACUGACCCCUUCCGUGCCGCAGUUAACACAAUAAGUAUUCCACCUGGGGAGUACGACCGCAAGGUUGAAACUCAAAGGAAUUGACGGGGGCCCGCACAAGCAGUGGAUUAUGUGGUUUAAUUCGACGCAACGCGAAGAACCUUACCAAGAUUUGACAUCCUCCUAACGAAGUAGAGAUACAUUAGGUGCCCUUCGGGGAAAGGAGAGACAGGUGGUGCAUGGUUGUCGUCAGCUCGUGUCGUGAGAUGUUGGGUUAAGUCCCGCAACGAGCGCAACCCUUAUCGUUAGUUGCUACGCAAGAGCACUCUAGCGAGACUGCCGUUGACAAAACGGAGGAAGGCGGGGACGACGUCAAAUCAUCAUGCCCCUUAUGUCUUGGGCUACACACGUAAUACAAUGGCGGCCAGCAGAGUGAAGCAAAGCGGCGACGCAGAGCGAAACACAAAAAGCCGUCUCAGUUCGGAUUGCAGGCUGCAACUCGCCUGCAUGAAGUUGGAAUUGCUAGUAAUCGCGGAUCAGCAUGCCGCGGUGAAUACGUUCCCGGGCCUUGUACACACCGCCCGUCACACCACGAGAGUCGGGAACACCCGAAGUCCGUAGUCUAACCGCAAGGAGGGCGCGGCCGAAGGUGGGUUUGAUAAUUGGGGUG